UGUAGAGCAAUGGUUAAGCUCUCGGCUGCUAACUGAAAGGCUGGUGGUUCGAACCCACCCA
This 61-nucleotide transfer RNA is filed under the name Loxodonta africana (African savanna elephant). It matches the Rfam family "tRNA", at positions 6 to 65 of the family's 71-position model. From Rfam's summary of the family: Transfer RNA (tRNA) molecules are approximately 80 nucleotides in length. Their secondary structure includes four short double-helical elements and three loops (D, anti-codon, and T loops). Lineage: Eukaryota; Metazoa; Chordata; Mammalia; Proboscidea; Elephantidae. The record is from Rfam by way of RNAcentral.